UACGGGGGGGGCAAGCGUUGUUCGGAAUUACUGGGCGUAAAGGGCUCGUAGGCGGCCAACUAAGUCCGACGUGAAAUCCCAAGGCUUAACCUUGGAACUGCGUCGGAUACUGGAUGGCUUGAAUUCGGGAGAGGGAUGCAGAGUUCCAGGUGUAGCGGUGAAAUGCGUAGAUAUCUGGAGGAAUACCGGUGGCGAAGGCGGCAUCCUGGACCGACAUUGACGCUGAUGCGCGAAAGCCAGGGGAGCGAACGGG
RNAcentral lists this ribosomal RNA (253 nucleotides) under uncultured bacterium. RNAcentral's name for it is "partial 16S ribosomal RNA". It matches the Rfam family "Bacterial small subunit ribosomal RNA", at positions 524 to 776 of the family's 1533-position model. The record is from RNAcentral.